UCCCAGGAGGUCUGAGGCUUCUGCUUCGGCUUGUCAUUUCUACGGUGGACUCUGACAUCAGCAGGAGACUGAGGAUUGUGAGCGUUACUCACUUCGCUUUGUAUUCGGUGGCAAUUCUCCCGAAGGGCUCAUUAACCUUUGUGAAGCUGGUGCCAGGAAAGGUUAUCUUUCUCAAGCAUUUCGCUCGUGCUUGGACACCAUCAAGGUGGAAAGUUUUCUCAGUACACCGGAUCCAUGAUCGGACUGCCUGCAUCACAUCUGAAAUGCUGGCCUCCCAGGAACUCCUUUAAUGGCCCAAACAUGUGGAAAUGGAAAGUUGAGGCUUAAGGGCUUUGCACAAGCCUGCAACAGGAAUGCUGGGAUUUGAGCUUACACCCUUCCAAGCAAGACUACUUCUGCACAGAGAGCAGCUCCAGGAGGGCGUGGGAUGCUUUAUGUAUUAGUGUCAUGAAGCUGGCGUGGGUGCCAAUGAGACCAUGAACAAACACAGAUAUACUGUCAAACAUCCUGGAGACAGUUAAAACUGAAGAUCCUGGCCUUCUUGUUCAGCAUCAGACUGCUGUAAACUGUCGGUUAAUUCGUUUUUGGCCUCUUAGACGAUAUACACCUCACUAAGCUGAGAGCUGAAGCCGCCACAAGGAUGUAGCCUACUAGUGAAUUAUAUAACUGAUUCCUGGUUUUUGCUCUUCAUUUUAGGAUCUUUUUUUAACCUUUGAUGAAUUUCUGAGCUAAUUUAAAAUAAAUAAAUAAAUUACUGUGCCAUUCUGCAUUGGAAUGCCACAUUUUUUCCCUCCCUCUGGGAAAACAGCCCAUGCCGGAUAUAGUAUGAGCUGUGCCUCAUAGAAGCUAUGAUCUAUUUUAUCUACUUUUGUUUGUGUCAAAAAAUUGAAAGUAAUUCAGAGGUGAAUUUACUGCUGAAGAAAUUCAGUGCAUUGAAAAAUAAGAGUUAUUAAGAGUUAAGAUCUUUAUACAAAACAAGUGAUUUUUCAGCUCCUAUGAACCUGGAUGUUUGUGUCACACAUGUUGAUUUAAUUACAUCAUAUGAUAAUAAAGUUAUGAUCAACAUGAAUAAUAAAAAAUAAAAAAAGUUGGUUUUGUCUGUA
This is a long non-coding RNA of Clarias gariepinus (North African catfish), 1103 nucleotides long. RefSeq lists it as uncharacterized. The record is from RefSeq and is a predicted model, not a curated record. The transcript is spliced from 5 exons. Lineage: Eukaryota; Metazoa; Chordata; Actinopteri; Siluriformes; Clariidae.